This 253-nucleotide ribosomal RNA is filed under the name uncultured bacterium. RNAcentral's name for it is "partial 16S ribosomal RNA". It matches the Rfam family "Bacterial small subunit ribosomal RNA", at positions 524 to 776 of the family's 1533-position model. The record is from RNAcentral.
UACGUAGGGUGCUAGCGUUGUUCGGAAUCAUUGGGCGUAAAGCGCGUGUAGGUGGUUAGGUAAGUCAGGUGUGAAAUCCCUGGGCUCAACCGAGGAAGUGCACUUGAAACUACCUAGCUAGAGGACAGUAGAGGAAGGUGGAAUUCCUAGUGUAGAGGUGAAAUUCGUAGAUAUUAGGAGGAAUACCGGUGGCGAAGGCGGCCUUCUGGGCUGCUCCUGACACUGAGACGCGAAAGCGUGGGUAGCAAACAGG